CUCGUGUGAGUUUGCAGACGGAGCUCAGAGCAGGAUUCACUCUGGACCUUUAUCUCUUCAAGACUUCAUCUUGAUUCUGCACGGUUUUAGAAACAUUCUGGAUCAUUCUGCAUUCCUCCUCUUCUCACAGAGUCGAAAUUGAGUAUAGAAAGGAAAAAACACAUACAGAAACUGCCAUCAGAAACCACAGAUGAGAAAAAUGGAGGACAGAAAUGAAACACAAACCACUGGAUCUCAAGAGAAAAGCAGACAGAAAUUUGAUAGAUGGCACAGUAUUGACAGAAAAAGACCAUGGUUGUCAGAUGAUCCAGGAGUGGAGGGAAAGUUUCAUUCUGAUGUUAAAAGCUGUUCAGCAUCAGUGAGACACCAGCAGCUGAAGACCUGAACAUCUUCAUCUUCAUCUUCAUCUUCAUCUUCAUCUUCAUCAUUUUCUUCAUCAUCAUCAUCUUCAUCAUUGUCAUCAUCAUCUUCAUCAUCUUCAUCUUCAUCAUCAUAUUCAUCAUCUUUAUCUUCAUCAUUGUCAUCAUCAUCUUCAUCAUCUUCAUCUUCAUCAUCAUCAUC
Carassius gibelio (silver crucian carp) is the source of this 561-nucleotide long non-coding RNA. RefSeq lists it as uncharacterized. The record is from RefSeq and is a predicted model, not a curated record. The transcript is spliced from 3 exons. NCBI's taxonomy places the organism in Eukaryota, Metazoa, Chordata, Actinopteri, Cypriniformes, Cyprinidae.